AACGCUUAGCAGUGGAUCACUUGGCUUGUGCGUCAAUGAAGAAAGCAGGUAGCUGCGAGAACUAAUGUGAAUUGCAGGAUUGAUCAUCGACACUACGAACGCAUAUUGCUACCCCAGGCUCCUCCCGGGGCUACACCUGUCUGAGGGUUG
Seriola dumerili (greater amberjack) is the source of this 150-nucleotide ribosomal RNA. It matches the Rfam family "5.8S ribosomal RNA". Rfam says of the family: 5.8S ribosomal RNA (5.8S rRNA) is a component of the large subunit of the eukaryotic ribosome. It is transcribed by RNA polymerase I as part of the 45S precursor that also contains 18S and 28S rRNA. Functionally, it is thought that 5.8S rRNA may be involved in ribosome translocation. The record is from Ensembl. Lineage: Eukaryota; Metazoa; Chordata; Actinopteri; Carangiformes; Carangidae.